UAAAACAAUUUACCAAAAUGUGCGUGCUGAAUAUGAUUACUUGUAUUUUCAUAAUUGAGUAGUUGAAAAAGCGAAGCCUAUCCCAUUAAUCGGCACCUUAGCCAAGGUUGCCUACUUUCUUUAAAUGGUAAUGCAAAUAUCAGCUGUAGCAAAUUAGGUAUUAGCACAAUGUUAAAUAUGGUGAAGGAAAUUGGAGAAAAUGCGCGCAUUUUCAGAUUAAGUAGGUUAGAACUAUGCACCAUUAUGCCAUUAUUAAUGACUUCCUAGACGCCAAUGGAACUACGUCUGAUUAUUCAUUAGGCCACACGCUGCAAGGUCGACAAUUUUCACACCAAUUUUUCAAGAAACGGACACGAGAGUUGCACGGAAUUGAGAUUUAUUUAGUAUAUUCAAUCGUCGUCUCUUUUUUUUUAAUUUCCUGUGCCCUAGAUAUUCAUACACGCAACAUGCUCCACGUGAAGUCUUUGAACAUAUUAAACAGCUGCGGGCUGAAUUGCAUAACUAAGAGGUGCUCGUUGUUAUGCUUGACACACCACGGCGAAAGUUGUCGGGGAGGUCAAUGUCAGAUGUAGUACUUAAGUUUUGGACACAACCGGGCGCAAAUUAGCUUAAACAUUAAAAUGAUUAAUUAACUGGCGAAUAUUUGUUACUUCUGUCACCCUUUCCACUUCGCUGUCAUCUGUCCACCGAAGUUGACCACUGAAAUUGGUUUUCAAGUUGGCUACGAAAUUAAUGUGUUAUGCGACUAUAAACCGCAGAUUAAAUUUAGACAGAUGAAUACUGGUAUCUGGCUUAAGUUAUGCGAAAGUUCCCUCUUAAUUGAAUUUGCUUAUAACUGGAAUGCUCUUGAUGUAGGAAACGAAACCUUACCCGGGAUUGUAGACACAUACGCGAAUUACAUUUACUAAAAGCGGUGGAAGUCAACAAAAUACAAUUGUUUACUUUAUAAGCCUUAUAAAUGGCACAAGUUAAAGCGAUUCGUACAAUAUUAAAGUUUACGACUUUUUGUACUACGGCGGCGUCUUUAACUUUUGUAAACUUCUAUCUUCAAAUUAAAUGAGCGCUAUUAAUAAUGCAUCUCAUUUAGUUGUUCACUCACGGUCUUUCCUACAAUUUAUUCCCUACCACUGACAUUAAACUUUCGUUAAAACUUGAAACUACCUACGAUAAAUCAUUACGAUUUUACUUUUUCAACUAAACUCUGUACAUAUUAUAAAAAGAGGAUAGCUGAGCUAAAUAGAAAUAGAAAGUUUUAGGGCAAAUGGUGGAUGAUGGAGAUGAAGAAACGUAUCAAGGCACGGAGUAUGAAGCUAUUAGAAAUGAGACAGCAAAUAACGGUGACUUGUUACUAACGCUGAGGAAAUCAUCGGAUCUAUGGUACCAGUCGUAUUGCAAAAGGAUUUUUUGAGUUCAAGGAUUGGCUAGGAUAUUGGGCUAAAUUUGAGAAAUUUGACCAGGGUGGUUCUUUACAUGGCAGUGAUAAGUUCCAGUAUUUACUUCAGUCAUUUUUACGUAGAACCGGUGAACAUGAGAUAGCAAACAGCAACCCCCAGUCAAAUGAAAACAUCCCGCUGGACCUAUCCCCCUCCCAGGAGGAGAUAUGGUUUUGAAAAGUUGAAUCAUCAAUGGAAUUACAUGAAGAAAUUGAGGCAAACGUUUUCCAAAGGAACCAUCUCUGCUUCUGGAGAAACGUGGUGAAGUGCUUCAAAACCGGGAUUAAGCUUUGAAUUUGGACAUUCCUCAACUAUAUGUUGGAUGGUUUCUUUAGGAUCUGCGUCUGGAUUGUGUUCUGGAUUCCAUUUGUGAGUAUGUAAUUGCAUCUUCCAUGUCCUGUUCUUAUACGAUUUAAUUUGACCCACAUUUUUCUUGGAAGAUCAAUCCCUGCAACUUCAUUGCACGGUUAUUUGAUUAAAUUUCGAUUAAAAAUUGUGUUAUUAUGCUGUAUCCAAAAAAUUUUCCAACGUUCUUUAAUGGAAUAUACAUUUGAAUGUUUGUAGUCUUCUUUCCAUAACGGGUUUCGUAAUUUUAAUCGAUAAAAAGGUAGGUAAAUUAUUCAGAUCUAAAUUUAUGGGGAAAUCAGCGUUAUUUUUAUAUUUGUCCCACAAUUUUUUUAGAAACAAUUCUCGUCUGAUAUUGGGUGGAGCAAUGUUGGAGAGAACAUGUAACCAAGGUAUAGGAGUAUAUUUAAAUGUGCCGGUAAUUAUUCUCAUUACAAUCUGGAUGACCUGCUAUUAUAAUGUUAUCGUGUUCUCUAAUUUAUGCGCCAAUGAAGCUAACUUAAUUACUUUUCUAGGUACUAAUUAGUUGAACAUCAAAUGCUGUCAGCACUAAUGUACAAUUUAGGUAUUUAGGUACUUUGUAGGUGAGCUAUUUUUGUUGUUGCCUUAAUCGUGUAGGUAAUUUCUACAGAAACAAGUAUCAAUGAAACUUUAAUAAAAAUGAUGGAGUACACUAAUAUUCAUUCACGUCACUCUUACCCUCUCCAUAAAGUUCUGGUGUCUUACAAAUCAAUUUUGGAAGUACGGUGAUCCAUAUUAUGUUAAAUGCGAUUUUUUCCCGAAAGCUCAAUAAUUGUAAAGUUUUUGAGUGUGUUGAGAUUAUGGUAUUGAAAAGCCGUACCAUCUUGAAGACAUUUGGUUACUCCUUCUCCUGCACUUUCGUGGAUAUAGCGAUUUCAAAUCUGCGUUUAAAACAUGGUGGAUUUAAUUACUACCCGUGAUGUUAAAAGGGAACAGUGCUUAGAUAAUUAAGAGGUUCGAGCAUAAUAAAGAACUCCACCAAGUUUUACAGUUGCUGAAGAAUAAGUAUCUAAAAGUGAAUUAUGUUUGUUC
Long non-coding RNA from Photinus pyralis (common eastern firefly), 2831 nucleotides. RefSeq lists it as uncharacterized. The transcript has 3 exons. The record is from RefSeq and is a predicted model, not a curated record. NCBI's taxonomy places the organism in Eukaryota, Metazoa, Arthropoda, Insecta, Coleoptera, Lampyridae.